CCUACGGGCGACAGCAGUGAGGAAUAUUGGUCAAUGGGCGCGAGCCUGAACCAGCCAAGUCGCGUGAGGGAGGACGGCCCUACGGGUUGUAAACCUCUUUUGCCGGGGAGCAACGGGCACCACGUGUGGCGUCACUGAGAGUACCCGGAGAAAAAGCAUCGGCUAACUCCGUGCCAGCAGCCGCGGUAAUACGGAGGAUGCGAGCGUUGUCCGGAAUCACUGGGCGUAAAGGGCGCGUAGGCGGUAAUAUAAGUCAGAUGUGAAAGGUGGGGGCUCAACCCCUAGAGUGCAACUGAUACUGUAUAACUUGAGUGUGAGAGAGGGAAGCGGAAUUCCUAGUGUAGCGGUGAAAUGCGUAGAUAUUAGGAGGAACACCAGUGGCGAAGGCGGCUUUCUGGCUCAUAACUGACGCUGAGGCGCGAAAGCGUGGGGAGCAAACAGGAUUAGAUACCCGAGUAGUC
RNAcentral lists this ribosomal RNA (461 nucleotides) under uncultured bacterium. RNAcentral's name for it is "partial 16S ribosomal RNA". It matches the Rfam family "Bacterial small subunit ribosomal RNA", at positions 338 to 795 of the family's 1533-position model. The record is from RNAcentral.